This is a long non-coding RNA of Vicia villosa (hairy vetch), 691 nucleotides long. RefSeq lists it as uncharacterized. The transcript has 3 exons. The record is from RefSeq and is a predicted model, not a curated record. Lineage: Eukaryota; Viridiplantae; Streptophyta; Magnoliopsida; Fabales; Fabaceae.
UCUGGAAAACCAAACUUGAAACUGAACUCUCUCUUCUCUGCUCAUAGCAAACAACAACAACAAAAUCCGCUCUCGGUCUUGGCUUUUGGCGGACAAACAACAACAGCUUUUGAUUGAAGACAAACUCAAGAAACUAGCAGCAACAAUUAUUAGUGAUAAAGAGUGAAAUCGAAUUACCUGCGGCAAGGAGGUGUUUGCCGGACUUUGUUGAAGGCUCUUUGAUGAAGGUGAUGCCACAACACCUCUUUGGAUAUUAGGGAGACUUGAAGAUGGAUUUCAAGUAGAAACCUUCCACCAAGGUAUGAACUACUUCUUCACCCCUUUUCAAACUAUGGAACUUUGUAGCUAUGAAUUCUCUCUUUUCAAGUGGUUUACCAAGAAACUUGAAAACUUAUGAGAGAAGAGGGAGAAAUGAGAAAGCUAGUAGUAUGGUAGCUUUGGUGUCAUUAACUUCAAAGAAAACACUUCUAUUUAUAGGAAAAGUUAAGGACGUGUUUGGCAUUUGGUAAACUUUGAUUGGCAAGUUAUAAUCAUUGCAAGAAUAAGAAUAUUCUUCAUGACAUAUUGCUUAUGACAUAGCUAUGCAAGUGACAUAAAAAAUAUCUCUUUGGUUCCUUUUUGUUUUGACUUAUUUUUUUGAAUUAUUGAACUUUUGCUAAUCUCACCCCUUUUUGUUUUCUUUUUCAUGUGA